RNAcentral lists this ribosomal RNA (185 nucleotides) under Antrozous pallidus (pallid bat). Its description in RNAcentral is "partial 16S ribosomal RNA". The record is from RNAcentral. Lineage: Eukaryota; Metazoa; Chordata; Mammalia; Chiroptera; Vespertilionidae.
AGAAGCAAUAAUGUUAAUAUGAGUAACAAGAAAUAAUUCUCCUAGCACAUGUGUAUAUCAGAACGAAUACAUCACUGAUAGUUACCAAAACAAACAUGAUCCCUAAUUAAAGUAAUACCACUAAUUGUUAGCCCCACACAGGAGUGCAAUUAAGGAAAGAUUAAAAGAAGUAAAAGGAACUCGGC